CCCCCUACGGGAGGCAGCAGUGAGGAAUAUUGGUCAAUGGGCUUACGCCUGAACCAGCCAAGUCGCGUGAGGGAAGACUGCCCUAUGGGUUGUAAACCUCUUUUGUCAGGGAGCAACGCCGGCUACGUGUAGCCGGACUGAGAGUACCUGAAGAAAAAGCAUCGGCUAACUCCGUGCCAGCAGCCGCGGUAAUACGGAGGAUGCGAGCGUUAUCCGGAUUUAUUGGGUUUAAAGGGUGCGUAGGCGGAAUGCCAAGUCAGCGGUAAAAUCGCGGGGCUCAACCGGUACAGGCUCUGGAAACUGGG
This 305-nucleotide ribosomal RNA is filed under the name uncultured bacterium. RNAcentral describes it as "bacterial SSU rRNA". It matches the Rfam family "Bacterial small subunit ribosomal RNA", at positions 335 to 637 of the family's 1533-position model. The record is from RNAcentral.